GACGAACGCUGGCGGCGUGCUUAACACAUGCAAGUCGAACGGAAAGGCCCUGCUUUUGUGGGGUGCUCGAGUGGCGAACGGGUGAGUAACACGUGAGUAACCUGCCCUUGACUUUGGGAUAACUUCAGGAAACUGGGGCUAAUACCGGAUAGGAGCUCCUGCUGCAUGGUGGGGGUUGGAAAGUUUCGGCGGUUGGGGAUGGACUCGCGGCUUAUCAGCUUGUUGGUGGGGUAGUGGCUUACCAAGGCUUUGACGGGUAGCCGGCCUGAGAGGGUGACCGGCAAAAGUGGGAAUGAGAAAGGCCCCGGACUCAGCCGGGAGCAAGAAGGGGGGAUUAUGGCAAAGGGGGGGGAGGCUGAAUGCAGCAGCGCGGGGGGGGGGAGGAGGGCUUUGGGUUGUGAACCCGUUUCCGCUGGUAAGGAAGGGGGGGGGAGGAAAGGGGGAAAAAAGCCCCGGCAAAACUCGGUC
This 468-nucleotide ribosomal RNA is filed under the name uncultured bacterium. Its description in RNAcentral is "partial 16S ribosomal RNA". It matches the Rfam family "Bacterial small subunit ribosomal RNA", at positions 28 to 508 of the family's 1533-position model. The record is from RNAcentral.